GACGAACGCUGGCGGCAGGCCUAACACAUGCAAGUCGAACGAGUGGCGGACGGGUGAGUAAUGUCUGGGAAACUGGCUGAUGGAGGGGGAUAACGACUGGAAACGGUAGCUAAUACCGCAUACCAUCAGAUGUGCCCAGAUGGGAUUAGCUAGUAGGUGGGGUAACGGCCCACCAAGCCGACGGUCCCUAGCUGGUCUGAGAGGAUGACCAGCCACACUGGAACGGAGACACGGUCCAGAAUCCUACGUGAGGCAGCAGUGGGGAAUAUUGGACAAUGGGCGCAAGCCUGAUGCAGCCAUGCCGCGUGUAUGAAGAAGGCCUGCGGGUUGUAAAGUACUUUCAUCGGGGAGGCGUUACCCGCAGAAGAAGCACCGGCUAACUCCGUGCCAGCAGCCGCGGUAAUAC
Molecule: ribosomal RNA, 406 nt
Filed under: uncultured bacterium
Lineage: Bacteria
Description: partial 16S ribosomal RNA
Rfam family: Bacterial small subunit ribosomal RNA
Source: RNAcentral